AGGUGAUAGUUUACAGGAACAGCGGAAGUUUCUGUGCAUCUGUUUUGGCAGGCUACAUACUAAUGAAAACUCAUACCUCCUAUUUCUCCCGACAUUAUUAAGUAUUAACAAUAAAUAAACCAGACAUCAUCCGCUUGAACAGAAACAAGUUAAUUAAUGGGGAAAAGGGAGACAUAUUAGCAUGUGAAAGCAAUAGGGAACCGGUAUCCCAUAGAUACGUCUGAUGUGAUUUAGACAUUGCUUACAAGUUUAGCAAUGUUUUUGUACCUUAUUUUAAGAUUUAUUUUUAUGAAUGAUGACAAAGAAUGAUGGAAUCAGGUUUACCACAAUGUAAAAUAAUAAUUAAAGGUAAAGUGAGCAGUAACCUUCAUCCCAG
RNAcentral lists this unclassified non-coding RNA (376 nucleotides) under Hevea brasiliensis (rubber tree). The record is from RNAcentral. Lineage: Eukaryota; Viridiplantae; Streptophyta; Magnoliopsida; Malpighiales; Euphorbiaceae.